GGACCCAUCGUUCAACGGAUAGGACGCGCCUCUGCGGAGGGCGAGAUCCAGGUUCGAUUCCUGGUGGGUCCG
Molecule: transfer RNA, 72 nt
Filed under: Candidatus Moraniibacteriota bacterium
Lineage: Bacteria; Candidatus Moraniibacteriota
Description: Candidatus Moranbacteria bacterium tRNA-Arg
Rfam family: tRNA
About the family: Transfer RNA (tRNA) molecules are approximately 80 nucleotides in length.
Source: RNAcentral